ACCUACGGGGGGCAGCAGUAGGGAAUUUUCGUCAAUGGGCGCAAGCCUGAACGAGCAAUGCCGCGUGAACGAGGAAGGUCUUCGGAUCGUAAAGUUCUGUUGAAGGGGAAAAAGAGCGGAGAGAGGAAAUGGUCUCCGAUUGAUAUUACCCUUCGAGGAAGUCACGGCUAACUACGUGCCAGCAGCCGCGGUAAUACGUAGGUGGCGAGCGUUAUCCGGAAUGAUUGGGCGUAAAGGGUGCGUAGGCGGCCUGCCAAGUCUGGAGUGAAAGGUACCGGCUCAACCGGUACAGGCUCUGGAAACUG
This 305-nucleotide ribosomal RNA is filed under the name uncultured bacterium. RNAcentral's name for it is "bacterial SSU rRNA". It matches the Rfam family "Bacterial small subunit ribosomal RNA", at positions 337 to 635 of the family's 1533-position model. The record is from RNAcentral.